Molecule: long non-coding RNA, 407 nt
Filed under: Felis catus (domestic cat)
Lineage: Eukaryota; Metazoa; Chordata; Mammalia; Carnivora; Felidae
Description: lncRNA (ENSFCAG00000049155.1)
Source: RNAcentral
AUGACAGGUGGGCUUUGGCAGAUGUCCCAGCCGCUCAGAGUCAGGGAGAGAAGGAGUCUCCAGCUCUGUCCUCUUCGUAGGCCACGUCUCAGCCGCUCUGACUGCUGCCUCUGUAGGAGGGUGAGGUGCUCACGGAAUCAAGAGAAAAAACUCCAGAGAGGGGACAUGACUUGCCCAAGGUCCCGCAGAGAGCACACGGCCAGUCACGACAGAGGGGCCCUCGGCACAACAGGAGACCCUGAGCCCGAUCCCGACCGGACGCCAGAAGCCCCUUGAGGACAAGGACUCCAUUUUACCCUUUAGGCCGUCCUCCCUCCCUGCGGGGGCUAGCACUGGGUGCCGCACACAGUAGGGGUUCCGGAAGUCCUCGGUGGGGUGGGGGGGGGGACAUCUUCCGUCCUGCAGCA